UCCAUUUAAACGCUCCGGCAAUGAAGACACGUGCUUCGGUAAUGCAAGGACUCGCUCCGACAGUACACUUUCUAGAGCCAUAGCGCUCUAGCGGUUGAAUAGGUCGCUCCGGCAAUGAGGACACAUGCUCCUGCAGUACAUCUUCUGGUGCCACAUCGCUUCGGCAAUAAAGACAAGAUCUCCGACAGUUGUACCACCUUCUUUUUUAAAGUUUU
Molecule: long non-coding RNA, 215 nt
Filed under: Amborella trichopoda
Lineage: Eukaryota; Viridiplantae; Streptophyta; Magnoliopsida; Amborellales; Amborellaceae
Description: long non-coding RNA (ATRI_LNC001453)
Source: RNAcentral